GACUGAGCUACCCAGGCACCCUUAUUAACAAUAUUUAAAUGUUAAGUACACACACACACAACACACACACACACACACAAACUACACAUAUAGUGUAUUAUAGCUUCUCUAUUUUAUGCAGAGAAUUUCAUUCUGGCAUUACUAGCUGUUCUAUUUUACUGGUCCCAUUAGAAAUUGUGUUGUCUCUUCUAGAGAACUAGAUUUGGUCAUCCUGAGUAUGGUGGUGAUAUCUUCCUCAGUGAGAAAGAAAUUACAAGAACAGAAGUCAGUUGGGUGCCUGUGAAGCACUGCUUUCUCAAGUACUUUUUUCCACUGGAUUUCUGCCUUUUCUUCCCCCACCUUCACCUCAUGAAGUUCUGUGCAUCAUUCAAGGUCAAUUUCUAGCAUCAGGCCCUUCAAGAUCUUGCUCACAUGGGAUUGGUGAGUGUCUGUGGUGUUGCAGGUACCAUGUCAAAGUGUGGAAUAGCAAGAUGUCUAAGACAAGGUACUGUCCUUCAGGAAACAUACAAUGUAAUGGAGGGAACUCCCUCAGAGAUCGUUUCAGUAUAAGGAGUGAGUCCAGCAGUAGAAGUGUUACAAACACAUUCUUCGUUCCUUAUUUGAACCGCCAAAGCAGGUGGCUGAUGUCCCUCUUUUGACAAUAAUCUUAUUCAGUAAUAAAGUACAGUGCAAAGAGAAGCUUUAUUAAACU
RNAcentral lists this long non-coding RNA (691 nucleotides) under Felis catus (domestic cat). Its description in RNAcentral is "lncRNA (ENSFCAG00000044405.2)". Lineage: Eukaryota; Metazoa; Chordata; Mammalia; Carnivora; Felidae. The record is from RNAcentral.